GAUGGGAGAGAGAAGGAACAGAGACAGCCCAGGGGCAAGAGUAGCCCCCAGGAGGCCAAGAGAAGUCAAGUUGGCUGUAGAAUUGUUGACAUAUAAAGCAUACGUGGUUCCUGAUGAUAAAUCACCCCGCAAAGGCAUUAAAGAUCGUGCUCAUGAGUGACUCAGAAGCCAAGUAUGUUGGUCCUCUUGUAAUGUGGGCGGCCAAGUUAUGUUGAACGAGAUGAAGGGGUUAGUAUCUCAUGAAUGUGCGUGGGAGGCUGACUGCAUUGGAGAAAGAGUUAAUCAUUAAACUGUUUGCGCCACUACAAUGGGCUGGGGCUGGCCGGGGUCCUCGGGCUGACCCCACUCCUCACCCACCCUGUUGGUAUGUGGCCCACACGGGAAGACCACAGGAAGCUCGGACCGUGGCCCCUGAACAACACGGCAUUUUACUUUGGAAACUGCCAGGACGAGAAAUUAGUGAGGCGGAUGAGGAAAAUCAAUUGGCGUGAUUCGAAUUUGGUAAGGAGGAGGAGAAAUGAGGGAAAGGGAGUGCUCGGGGAAAUCCUGCCUCCUCUGUGAGGUGGGAGUUAUCCGACUCCCAUCUCCAGUGGGGAAGCCAGGCUCAGGGAGGUUAAGUAGCCAGCAGAGGUUUCGCAGCUAGAAAGGGCGGCUGAGCCAGGAUUGAGGGUGCAGGCCUGUGGGCUCCCAAUGCCUGCAGCCUGAGCCCCCAGCUGGGCUGCCCCCGCCAGGCUCCUAAAGCUGCCAGAGAGGAAGGCUUGCAGGCCCUGGCAAGAAAUAGGGGGCCCGGAUCCCGCCUCUGGCUCUGCCCCUCUCGGGUGGUUAUCAGGGAUGAAGCAGUAACAGGGGUGCCAGCCCCACGUCACCAUGACCUGCCCAGUGGCCUUGGAUGGCCUCGCGGCCUCUGUAAAGGAGCUGAUGGUGCCUUCCUCUGGCAGGUAGGGCAGACUGGAUGACGUUUCAGGAUACUGUGCCAUCCCAGGAUUGCAUGAUUCUUGAAUUUCUGGAGUUUUGAAAUGAUAAAGAAUGUCUCUGUGUUCAGAGGGUCUGGGCUCCGGGGCAGAAGCCAGUCCUGCGGACACUGAGCAUCUGUGCCCCCCAGCACCCCGAGAGCUUCCCUUCCUUGUGGCUACCGCACGUCCAGCUCCAUUCCGUUCCCACGUACCUUGCGGAGUGUGGCUCUGCUUCUCGCCCCACAGUGCCCCGCCCCUGCCACCCCUCUCUCCAGGGUCUGCGACAAGAGUCUGUCCCACCAUCAACCUGACUGAGGCACUGGUGUCUUGGAGACCCCCCUGUGCUUCCCCAGGUCUCAGCACUCCACACCGAGUCUCUCCCCCGCCUCAGAGACCCUCAUCUUGUUACGGAAUCUGGACUGGAUCACCCGACGGAAGAACCAAGUGGCACCCGGAGAUCUUGGAGGAUCAGAGGUUUAUUUAACGUCGCGGGCUCAGAGGAGAGUGGUCUCCAAAGGUCUGAGCCCCGAGCACAAAGGGGGGCAAUUUAUACACUUCUUCCUCCGCAUACUUGGCACUUUCGGCGCGUGCGCGAAGCGUGGCCGGGAGAAGAACCCGGAAGAGCCCCGGGGCAACGACUGGGACUCUCGCUGGCUCGGUCGGCCAUCUUAGGACACAGGUUUUCCUUAUCAAUCUAGGUCCCCAGGAUGUCCUCGCUGCCUGAGGAUUCCCUCGGCCAGAGCCACGUAAGGACUCCAGCCUCCUCUCCUCAUGGGGGGCCGUGGCCACUCCUCAAACCUAUUCCUUCUAGCUGUUUCCCUUACGUGAUUCCCAGAGCAGCAGAUGCUGCCUCCUGGACAAAACUUCUUCAGAAGAAGACCAGUCCCCUGUCUUUCUGUCUCUCAACAUGGGACCCCCAGUUCCUGGGAGGGUCCUUCCCCAGGUCCUUAAACCCAUGGCUUCCAGGCGGGUGUGGCUCAGCGAUCACAAAGAUGCCACCUGGGUGGGCCCCGGAGGCCACUUAGCUGGCUGAGAGUGGUGGGAGUCUCCUGAGUCACAGCAUGUCCCAGGGGAACGCCUUUCUUUGACUAUGGUGGGCAGAAUAACAAAGACACCCACAUCCUAAUCUCCAGAGCCUGUGAACAUGGCACAGAUAGGAUUAAGUAGGGAUACUGGGUUGAGAUUAUCCUGGAUUACCCAGAUGGGCCCAGUGUAGUCACAAGGGUCCCUAUGGGUGGCAGAGUCACUGUUGGAGUGAUGAUGUGACUCAACUGGCCAUUGCUUUGAUGGUGGAAGGGGCCAGGGGCCACGGAGCAUGGGCAGCCUCCAGAAACUGGGGAACACGAAGAAACAGAUUGUGCCCUGGAAGCACCUGAAAGAACGUGGCCCUGUAAACACCUUGAUUUUAGCCCAGUGAGAAGCAUUUUCGACUCUGGCCUCCAGAACUGUAAGGGAAUUGUUCUCCACGUGCACAUGUCCAGGGAUGGACGCUGGGCGGCAGGAAGCGAGGCAUCUGUGAGCUGGCAGGUCCUGGAGCCCUUAUGCCCGUGUGGCAUGUGGCAGGACCCCGUCAGCUCUACACAGAGCAGUACGCGCUCUCACACCUGUGCAUCUAGUGAACGCGUGACCCUCCGGCUUAAGACGAUUCCUCCCAGGCUCUCGGGAGCAGGUGCGGCAGACCUACCUGGAAGCCAUGUGUUGAAGAGGCUGGGUCCCAAGACGUGGAGCGUGUGUGUCCCAGCCCCGCACCCUGUGGACUCGUGGUGUGAGCGAGGUGUGACCUCGGUUUGUGACACCUCGAGAUUCCUGGGUUCACUUCUUAUCUGGGCCCGGCCACCUACACUGGAGGAUUCCCCGGGUUUAGGAAGAGCCCCGUGGUCUUGAGAAGGCGCUCAGCGUGUAGCUGGAGAACAUGAGCAUGAUGGGUUAGUACUGCGGGAAGCUGAGGGAACGGUUGCGGGGUUGGCAGGGUCGGGGGGGCAGACCAGCAAGGCAGAGCAGCGGCCCCGGAAGAGGAAGCCUGCCUCGGGAGAGCACUUUUCACUCUCGGAAGCUUCUCCCAAGUCUCCUGUGAUCCCACUCUGGGUUUUUAUCUGUUUUCUUGGGGACCUCAUUCCAUGCAUCUCACAGUGGGUCCAUGGCACCUACAGCUUCUAGAACAACGAAUAAGUCAUGUUGGAUCAAGUUGGUCAUUUUUUAAGCACAGCCAGGAUAAGGACUUCUAAA
Molecule: long non-coding RNA, 3179 nt
Organism: Mirounga angustirostris (Northern elephant seal)
Lineage: Eukaryota; Metazoa; Chordata; Mammalia; Carnivora; Phocidae
Exons: 3
Source: RefSeq, a predicted model, not a curated record